CCCGCUGAACUUAAGCAUAUCAAUAAGCGGAGGAAAAGAAACCAACAGGGAUUGCCUCAGUAACGGCGAGUGAAGCGGCAUAAGCUCAAAUUUGAAAUCUGGCUUCCAGGAUCUGGAGUCCGAGUUGUAAUUUGCAGAGGAUGUCUUUGGGUGUCGGUUGCGGUCUAAGUCCCUUGGAACAGGGCAUCGUAGAGGGUGAGAAUCCCGUGCGGGACCGCGGACCUUGCCCGUGUAAAGCUCCUUCGACGAGUCGAGUUGUUUGGGAAUGCAGCUCUAAAUGGGUGGUAAAUUUCAUCUAAAGCUAAAUACGGGCCAGAGACCGAUAGCGCACAAGUAGAGUGAUCGAAAGAUGAAAAGCACUUUGAAAAGAGAGUUAAACAGCAUGUGAAAUUGUUGAAAGGGAAGCGCUUGCGACCAGACUCGCCCACGCAAGGCUCAGCCGGCAUGUUUUGGCGGUGCACUCCUUCGCGGGCGGGCCAGCGUCGGUUCUGACGGUUGGUUAAAGACUCUUGGAAUGUGUCGCCUCUCCGGGGGCGUCUUAUAGCCAGGGGUGCAAUGCAGCCUGUUGGGACCGAGGAUCGCGCUUUUGCACGGACGCUGGCAUAAUGGUCGUAAGCGACCCGUCUUGAAACACGG
Molecule: ribosomal RNA, 636 nt
Filed under: uncultured fungus
Lineage: Eukaryota; Fungi
Description: eukaryotic LSU rRNA
Rfam family: Eukaryotic large subunit ribosomal RNA
Source: RNAcentral